This 485-nucleotide ribosomal RNA is filed under the name Kluyveromyces marxianus. Its description in RNAcentral is "eukaryotic LSU rRNA". It matches the Rfam family "Eukaryotic large subunit ribosomal RNA", at positions 88 to 583 of the family's 3401-position model. The record is from RNAcentral. Lineage: Eukaryota; Fungi; Ascomycota; Saccharomycetes; Saccharomycetales; Saccharomycetaceae.
GGCGAGUGAAGCGGCAAAAGCUCAAAUUUGAAAUCUGGCGUCUUCGACGUCCGAGUUGUAAUUUGAAGAAGGCGACUUUGUAGCUGGUCCUUGUCUAUGUUCCUUGGAACAGGACGUCAUAGAGGGUGAGAAUCCCGUGUGGCGAGGAUCCCAGUUAUUUGUAAAGUGCUUUCGACGAGUCGAGUUGUUUGGGAAUGCAGCUCUAAGUGGGUGGUAAAUUCCAUCUAAAGCUAAAUAUUGGCGAGAGACCGAUAGCGAACAAGUACAGUGAUGGAAAGAUGAAAAGAACUUUGAAAAGAGAGUGAAAAAGUACGUGAAAUUGUUGAAAGGGAAGGGCAUUUGAUCAGACAUGGCGUUUGCUUCGGCUUUCGCUGGGCCAGCAUCAGUUUUAGCGGUUGGAUAAAUCCUCGGGAAUGUGGCUCUGCUUCGGUAGAGUGUUAUAGCCCGUGGGAAUACAGCCAGCUGGGACUGAGGAUUGCGACUUU